GAUCAGUGCUUGGGUACAUGGUGCUCCUUCCAAACCAACCUUUCCAGGAAGAGCGACCUUGAGUUUGUGGUCCACGGCCCGCAGCUGAAACGUCACGUGUUCGGGUAAAAUCCAGCUGGUGACAUAGACUGAGUCUCAGCCGAUGCCAGUAAAAGUUGUUCUUAGCGAUUCCCUUUUCAUCUAUUACCACGUUGCCAGUGGAUUCAUGAACAUUCGGGAGGAAGGAGGAUCUUAAGACUCCAUCACUUUCUUUUAAUCCCAUGCAAGAAUACUGAGGAAGACAGAACAUCUAACAAGGAGAAUUUGAAAAGCCCAAGACAGACAGAUUUCCUUCUUACUUCUGCCUACCCCACCCAGAUCUUUAUAUUUACAUACUCUGAGUGUUGAGAUGGAUGUAACUUAGCUGUGAUCACCAAAAGAGAAGGUGGCACACAAUUCAACCCUUACACUCUCCCUCGGCAUACAGCAAGCUUGGUGGCUGCCAAAUACGGAUGGAUACAAAACCUUUUGCUUCAGAAAACCAAGGCUCACCUUGCCCAGCUGGUACUGGACAUGAUGUUUUCUGGGUGUGGGCAGGAAGACAUUCUGAGUUCUCGGGCCAGAAGGGUGUCUACAUGUGUGGAUUUGGUCCCUUGUCUUGAAAACCUUACUUUACUGCUGAUUCCGUCUCCAUCUUCCAGCAAAAACAUACAAAAGAUUUUCCUCCAGAUCAUGCAAAACAACCUCCCCUUUAAAAAAUAAACACUGAAGCAUUUCCUCCGUGGUCUCA
Molecule: long non-coding RNA, 769 nt
Organism: Meriones unguiculatus (Mongolian gerbil)
Lineage: Eukaryota; Metazoa; Chordata; Mammalia; Rodentia; Muridae
Exons: 2
Source: RefSeq, a predicted model, not a curated record